Leptinotarsa decemlineata (Colorado potato beetle) is the source of this 573-nucleotide long non-coding RNA. The record is from RefSeq and is a predicted model, not a curated record. Lineage: Eukaryota; Metazoa; Arthropoda; Insecta; Coleoptera; Chrysomelidae.
ACAGCUGGUAGAGUAGUUGUUGGAAGAGAAAUAUCAAGCAAUGGUAGACAAUUUGAUAUUCAGAUUUAGACAAUGAUUCAGUUAUCAGUUUAUUAGGGAUUAGUUCGAGCUAUGAUACGUAGAUAGAGGUAGUGUCGUUGUAUUUUGUGAAAAUUCACUUUAAAUUUGUGGUUAACUGGAUAUGUGCGAGUGAGAAGCAGUGAUAUUUGGAGGGUCAAUUACAAUAUUUAGUUGAGUAUGUGAAAUUUGAAUAUUCAUGUUUAGAUUGUUUAUUAAAUAUUUUCCUAUGGUCAGUGUAGUAGUGCUAUAACCUUAACAUUGAAGAAUUUGAAUGGGAAUAGAAGAUGUUAUUUCCGAACGUGUUAUUAAACUCUACCAAAAACUUAAAAGUAAGCACAAGUUUUGUCAAACUGUUCCUUCGAUCAAUUUCGACCACUCAUUCAAAAAUGUCUGAAGUUGAUAAGAGGUUCACUCUACCCCAACGAUAUGCUGGAACAAAAGAAAGUGUAUGGACGGAAUACAUACAAAUGGCAAUAGACUAUAAACCGUUGAAUCUUGGACAAGGAUUUCCUU